This 468-nucleotide ribosomal RNA is filed under the name uncultured bacterium. Its description in RNAcentral is "partial 16S ribosomal RNA". It matches the Rfam family "Bacterial small subunit ribosomal RNA", at positions 28 to 507 of the family's 1533-position model. The record is from RNAcentral.
GACGAACGCUGGCGGCGUGCUUAACACAUGCAAGUCGAACGGAAAGGCCCUGCUUGUGUGGGGUGCUCGAGUGGCGAACGGGUGAGUAACACGUGAGUAACCUGCCCUUGACUUUGGGAUAACUUCAGGAAACUGGGGCUAAUACCGGAUAGGAGCUCCUGCUGCAGGGUGGGGGUUGGAAAGUUUAGGCGGUUGGGGAUGGACUCGGGGCUUAUCAGCUUGUUGGUGGGGUAGUGGCUUACCAAGGCUUUGACGGGUGGCCGGCCUGAGAGGGUGACCGGCGUCAUUGGGACUGAGAUACGGCCCAGACUGCUACGGGAGGCAGCGGUGGGGAAUAUUGCCCAGUGGGCGGAAGCCUGAUGCAGCAGCCCCGCGUGCGGGAUGACGGCCUUCGGGUUGUAAACCGCUUUCGCCUGUGACGAAGCGUGAGUGACGGUAAUGGGUAAAGAAGCACCGGCUAACUACGUG